RNAcentral lists this ribosomal RNA (253 nucleotides) under uncultured bacterium. Its description in RNAcentral is "partial 16S ribosomal RNA". It matches the Rfam family "Bacterial small subunit ribosomal RNA", at positions 524 to 776 of the family's 1533-position model. The record is from RNAcentral.
UACGUAGGGUGCGAGCGUUGUCCGGAAUUAUUGGGCGUAAAGGGCUCGUAGGCGGUCUGUCGCGUCGGGAGUGAAAACUCAGGGCUUAACCCUGAGCCUGCUUCCGAUACGGGCAGACUAGAGGUAUGCAGGGGAGAACGGAAUUCCUGGUGUAGCGGUGGAAUGCGCAGAUAUCAGGAGGAACACCGGUGGCGAAGGCGGGUCUCUGGGCAGUAACUGACGCUGAGGAGCGAAAGCGUGGGGAGCAAACAGG